RNAcentral lists this transfer RNA (72 nucleotides) under Snodgrassella alvi SCGC AB-598-O02. Its description in RNAcentral is "tRNA-Thr". Lineage: Bacteria; Pseudomonadati; Pseudomonadota; Betaproteobacteria; Neisseriales; Neisseriaceae. The record is from RNAcentral.
UUAUUGGUGGCCCAAUCGGUGAUCGUAUUGGUCGUAAAUAUGUGAUCUGGUUUUCGAUUCUUGGGGCGGCAC